Ribosomal RNA from Synechococcus sp., 1395 nucleotides. It matches the Rfam family "Bacterial large subunit ribosomal RNA", at positions 1 to 1427 of the family's 2925-position model. The record is from Rfam. Lineage: Bacteria; Bacillati; Cyanobacteriota; Cyanophyceae; Synechococcales; Synechococcaceae.
GGUCAAGCUAUCAAGGGCUUAUGGUGGAUACCUAGGCACACAGAGGCGAAGAAGGACGUGGUUACCUGCGAUAAGCUCCGGGGAGUUGGAAGCAAACAUUGAGCCGGAGAUUUCCGAAUGGGGCAACCCUAUAUACUUUUACCUGAAUACAUAGGGUAGAGAGAGCGAACCCAGCGAAUUGAAACAUCUUAGUAGCUGGAGGAAGAGAAAACAAACGUGAUUCCCCUAGUAGCGGCGAGCGAAGCGGGAAGAGCCUAAACCAGAGUGCAUGCAUUCUGGGGUUGUGGGACAGCGACAUGGAAUCUAGCGACUAGACGAAGCAGCUGAAUACUGUAUCAGAGAAGGUGAAAAUCCUGUAGUCGAAAGUUUAAGGAUACUAGCUGCAUCCCGAGUAGCCUGGAGCACGUGGAAUUCCGGGUGAAUCAGCGAGGACCACCUCGUAAGGCUAAAUACUCCUGUGUGACCGAUAGUGAACCAGUACCGCGAGGGAAAGGUGAAAAGAACCCCGGAAGGGGAGUGAAAUAGAACAUGAAACCAUAAGCCUACAAGCAAUGGGAGACCGAUUUAACGGUUGACCGUGUGCCUGUUGAAGAAUGAGCCGGCGACUUAUAGGCACUGGCAGAUUAAGACGGGAAUGUCGAAGUCAAAGCGAAAGCGAGUCUGAAAAGGGCGUUAGUCAGUGUUUAUAGACCCGAACCCGGGUGAUCUAACCAUGGGCAGGAUGAAGCUUGGGUAACACCAAGUGGAGGUCCGAACCGACCGAUGUUGAAAAAUCGGCGGAUGACCUGUGGUUAGGGGUGAAAUGCCAAUCGAACCCGGAGCUAGCUGGUUCUCCCCGAAAUGUGUUGAGGCGCAGCGGUAGUGAUUAUAGCUGGGGGGUAAAGCACUGUUUCGGUGCGGGCUGCGAGAGCGGUACCAAAUCGAGACAAACUCUGAAUACCCAGUGGACACACUACCAGUGAGACGGUGGGGGAUAAGCUUCAUCGUCAAGAGGGAAACAGCCCAGACCACCAGCUAAGGUCCCCAAAUCAUCAUUCAGUGAUUAAGGAGGUGGGAGUGCAUAGACAACCAGGAGGUUUGCCUAGAAGCAGCCAUCCUUGAAAGAGUGCGUAAUAGCUCACUGGUCAAGCGCUCCUGCGCCGAAAAUGAACGGGGCUAAAUGAUGUACCGAAGCUGUGGGAUAUGUAUGUAUCGGUAGGGGAGCGUUCCAUUGUAGUUAGAAGCAUCAGCGUGAGCAGGUGUGGACGAAGUGGAAGUGAGAAUGUCGGCUUGAGUAGCGCAAACAUUGGUGAGAAUCCAAUGCCCUGAAAUCCCAAGGGUUCCUCCGCAAGGCUCGUCCGACGGAGGUUAGUCAGGACCUAAGGCGAGGCCGAUAGGCGUAGUCGAUGGACAACC